Molecule: ribosomal RNA, 47 nt
Filed under: Blakeslea trispora
Lineage: Eukaryota; Fungi; Mucoromycota; Mucoromycetes; Mucorales; Choanephoraceae
Description: partial 28S ribosomal RNA
Source: RNAcentral
ACCUGAAAUCAGGUGGGACUACCCGCUGAACUUAAGCAUAUCAAUAA